Molecule: ribosomal RNA, 492 nt
Filed under: uncultured bacterium
Lineage: Bacteria
Description: partial 16S ribosomal RNA
Rfam family: Bacterial small subunit ribosomal RNA
Source: RNAcentral
AGUGAACGCUGGCGGUAGGCCUAACACAUGCAAGUCGAACGGCAGCACAGUAAGAGCUUGCUCUUACGGGUGGCGAGUGGCGGACGGGUGAGGAAUACAUCGGAAUCUACUUUUUCGUGGGGGAUAACGUAGGGAAACUUACGCUAAUACCGCAUACGACCUACGGGUGAAAGCAGGGGAUCUUCGUACCUUGCGCGAUUGAAUGAGCCGAUGUCGGAUUAGCUAGUUGGCGGGGUAAAGGCCCACCAAGGCGACGAUCCGUAGCUGGUCUGAGAGGAUGAUCAGCCACACUGGAACUGAGACACAGUCCAGACUCCUACGGGAGGCAGCAGUGGGGAAUAUUGGACAAUGGGCGCAAGCCUGAUCCAGCCAUACCGCGUGGGUGAAGAAGGCCUUCGGGUUGUAAAGCCCUUUUGUUGGGAAAGAAAAGCAGCAGGUUAAUACCCCGCUGUUCUGACGGUACCCAAAGAAUAAGCACCGGCUAACUUCGUG